GAUGAACGCUAGCUACAGGCUUAACACAUGCAAGUCGCGGGGCAGCAUGGGGGUUGCUUGCACUCCCUGAUGGCGACCGGCGCACGGGUGAGUAACGCGUAUCCAACCUGCCCUUCACCACGGGAUAACCCGGCGAAAGUCGGACUAAUACCGUAUGUUGUCCAUUGACGGCAUCCGAUUCGGACGAAAGGCUUAGCGGUGAGGGAUGGGGAUGCGUCCGAUUAGCUUGACGGCGGGGUAACGGGCCCCCGUGGCUACGAUCGGUAGGGGUUCUGAGAGGAAGGUCCCCCACACUGGAACUGAGACACGGUCCAGACUCCUACGGGAGGCAGCAGUGAGGAAUAUUGGUCAAUGGGCGUAAGCCUGAACCAGCCAAGUAGCGUGCAGGAUGACGGCCCUAUGGGUUGUAAACUGCUUUUAUGCGGGGAUAAAGGGAACCACGUGUGGGUUUUUGCAGGUACCGCAUGAAUAAGGACCGGCUAAUUCCGU
RNAcentral lists this ribosomal RNA (489 nucleotides) under uncultured bacterium. RNAcentral describes it as "partial 16S ribosomal RNA". It matches the Rfam family "Bacterial small subunit ribosomal RNA", at positions 28 to 506 of the family's 1533-position model. The record is from RNAcentral.